Spinacia oleracea (spinach) is the source of this 1964-nucleotide long non-coding RNA. RefSeq lists it as uncharacterized. The record is from RefSeq and is a predicted model, not a curated record. Lineage: Eukaryota; Viridiplantae; Streptophyta; Magnoliopsida; Caryophyllales; Amaranthaceae. The transcript has 8 exons.
GUCUAUUGAGCGCUAAAACAACAAAUUUCCUUAACAGUUCCAUCGCGCAUAUCACUCUCGCUCAAACCCUAAUAAGCGAAAAACUCCCAAAAGAACAACUUCUCCUCUGCGAAUCUGAAACUCUCAAUUGUGUAUUUUCCAUUGAUAUUCAGUGGCAAAAAAGGACUCAAUUUCACUUCAUGUGCUGGAAUUUCGAAGGGGUAUACUGCUCAAUUUUAUGCUGAAACUUUCGAGGUAUUGUUGCACAGUAGCGCGCUCUGAAUGAAUCCUUAUCAACAUAUCCAGAAUAUUUGAGAAACAAAACUCCCAUGAUGAAGACUGUGACUGCCUAAUUAAGCUAGUCUACUAUAGACCGUGCUGUAUUGGUUUUGACGGAUGAGACAACCAGUUUUAACCAAUUGACACGAACCAUUUACCUCCAAUCACUACUACAAAAGCCUACGUUUCUGGACGCCUGGAGCUCGACACCUGGGUAUGAGCGUUGGGGAAAAAAAUUAAUUUCCGUUAUUUCACGACGCCUUUCAUCGUCUAGAACUUUCUCGACAAUUUUUGGCGUCGAGAGUACACGUGAAACCCACGUGAUAGCUGGCUACUCAGAUAGUCAGAUCUAAUGUUAGCCCGCAACUUUCCGUUCUUUGGAAAAUAAAAACCGCCUCGUUGAAUAGCCCUCACCGCCUCUCACCUCUUGCUAAAAAAUCUCAAAUCUACUCUCUUCUCAUUGGAAUGUUAAGAGCUCUCCUUCACGUAUCUUCCUCAUUUGUGUUCUCCUUGUGAUUGUAUAUCUCUUUUUCACCUUCAAUCAAUGGGUUUAGGGUCUUGUGAAAGGUAGUUAAAGAAACUUGUGUUUCUUCUGAAGUAAAACCAUCUUAAUCUUUGAUGGUUUUGUUUAUCGGGCAUCGGUUGUGGACUACUCUGCUAAACCACUUGAGACUAGGAUGCCUUUUCGUGCCUUUAUUGAUGCUAGCCUUAUAAGGACACCUAUCGCAACUGAGUUUUUGGUGCUUUCAAGGUUUUUGCUUUGAGGGAUGCUGGGGAGUAGGCUGAAAAUGCAACUGCUUAUGUGACUUUGGAACCCUGCAAUCAUUAUGGAAAAACUCCUCCCUGUUCUGAGGCUUUGAUCAAAGCCAAAGUGAAGAGAGUUGUGGUUGGCAUGGUGGAUCCAAACCCCAUUAUUUCAUCUAGGGGGAUUACUAGGCUUCAAGAAGCAGGCAUUGAAGUAGUUGUUGGAGUUGAGGAAGAUUUAUGCAACAAGCUCAAUGAAGCAUUUAUUCACAAAAUGAUUUCUGGGAAGCCUUUUGUUACUCUCGGGUAAAGCUUAUUGUUUCGUUUAAUUCACUACUACAAAACAAGGUGUUUCACUCUGAUAUCUUCGAUUUUAUCUUCUUCACAAUGAGUCACAGUGGUGGGAACAAGACUGAAUGUAGCUAGAAAUUGCUGAGAUUUUGAAGCGUAUAAUCCUCAAUUGUCUGCUGAAAUAUCUAGGCUAGAGUUUUUCGAUCAUGAUGAGAAGUUGGCAUUGUUCUACUUUAAUUUACCUUAAAGAUACUCUUGUUUGAACAUCAAUUCAACUGCUUCUUUUGCUGAAAGUAUCUCAAGCAUAUUCAGGCAUAGCUCAACUGCUCACGAGGAUAGAUCGUACAACGUGAUAAAGGAGAAACGAAAGAAUGAAGCAACUUGGAACACUUGAGUCUACUACGAACAAUCGUCUAUAAAUAUAUAGCUAGUUCCUAGUUACUUAAUCUAGGCUUUAUUUUCUUUUACGUACUAUGAAUUUUAGUUUUUCUAGGCUUUAUUUUCUUUUACGUACUGUGAAUUUUAGUUUCUCUAGGCUUUAUUUUCUUUUACGUACUAUGAAUUUUAGUUUUUCUAGGCAUUAUUUUCUUUUACGUACUGUGUAUUUUAGUUUCUCUAGGCUUUAAAUAUAUUAGUAAUAUAAAUGUGUGCACGUACUAUGGAUUUUACUA